UGCCAGCAGCCAAAGAGUCAGGAGUUCCUAAGCCAGGAUGCAAGAAGAAGCCUGACCGCAGGUUUCCUUAUGCUAAUCAGACAUCCACCACUCUGAAGUUCUGAAGGAUAAACAGCAAACAGGAAUGGGGUACUGAAAGACAAGAAUCUGCAGAAGGUGCACAAAGAUCAACAAAACUGAAAGAAAAGGACCACAAUCACUAUUUGUGAUGAAAAGAAGGCUUCACUUAGCUGAGACUGAAAUAACCAGAAUCAGAUUGGGUAGACCAACCAACUGAUCAAAGGAGGUGUAAAUUCACAUACAUUAAUGACCCUGUUAGCUAAUAAUGUAUGUCUUGCAAAACAGCCUUACUAUAUUUAGCCUAACUGCUCUAUCUUGCUUUAAAACUGCAUUUUUCUAUGGCUCUUAGGUAAAGCAAAGAUUUUUUUAAAGUCACUUAAAGAAACCUUUAGCAUGGGAAUUCUUUAAACUUCUAUCAGAAGAACAAAACUUUCUAUUCAGCAUAUACUGUAAUAUUUUGUGUCUUUCUCCCAUUGAGAUACCUUGACUUUCAACAUUUGCACUUUGCAGUUAAAUAUGAAAACCCCUAUGCACCCAUAAUUAGAGACUUGUUAAUUAUUGAAAGUAGUGA
Alligator mississippiensis (American alligator) is the source of this 631-nucleotide long non-coding RNA. RefSeq lists it as uncharacterized. The transcript is spliced from 3 exons. The record is from RefSeq and is a predicted model, not a curated record. NCBI's taxonomy places the organism in Eukaryota, Metazoa, Chordata, Crocodylia, Alligatoridae.